Oreochromis aureus is the source of this 163-nucleotide long non-coding RNA. RefSeq lists it as uncharacterized. The record is from RefSeq and is a predicted model, not a curated record. Lineage: Eukaryota; Metazoa; Chordata; Actinopteri; Cichliformes; Cichlidae. The transcript is spliced from 3 exons.
UGAAGAGGAGGAGCAAUGUUUUACUUGACAGUGAAUUGAUAUCAGUGUUUGGCGUGAUAUGAGUGAGCAGCAGGAUGGAGGAAACGUCUCUGCUGUGUCUGCUCAUUCUGAUCUCACUGCUGAGCUGCACCACAAACCAAGCUCGUCUGACUGUGAGUCCCAG